Molecule: ribosomal RNA, 392 nt
Filed under: uncultured bacterium
Lineage: Bacteria
Description: partial 16S ribosomal RNA
Rfam family: Bacterial small subunit ribosomal RNA
Source: RNAcentral
AUACGGAGGAUCCGAGCGUUAUCCGGAUUUAUUGGGUUUAAAGGGUGCGCAGGCGGCCAUUUAAGUCAGCGGUUAAAUCGUGGGGCUCAACCCCAUUCUGCCGUUGAUACUGGGUGGCUUGAUUGCGGUCGAGGUUGGCGGAAUUCGUUGUGUAGCGGUGAAAUGCAUAGAUAUGACGAAGAACACCGAUUGCGUAGGCAGCUGACCAGACCGCAAAUGACGCUCAUGCACGAAAGUGCGGGGAUCGAACAGGAUUAGAUACCCUGGUAGUCCGCACAGUAAACGAUGAAUACUUGUUUUCGGCGAUAUAAUGUCGGAGGCAAAGCGAAAGCGAUAAGUAUUCCACCUGGGGAGUACGCCGGCAACGGUGAAACUCAAAUGAAUUGAUGGGG